CUAAAUAAUUUGAGAAGCGUUGUUUUUGCCACUGUGGUGAAAGAAGGUAAAGAGCCCCACGUGGAGGCCCGAGGUGGGAACCUGAGGCCUCUCCAGUCCACUGCUGCCAAGGAUGCACCACCCGCCUGUCUCACUUGCUGCGCUGGGGGUGUGGAGGAAAAGUGAAUGUGUUAGGACGGGAAAGAUGGUGAACUAUGUAUGCCUAGGCAGGGCGAAGCCAGAGGAACUCUGCUGGAGGUUCAGAGUGGUCCUGAUGUGCAAACUGGUCGUCCGACCUGGGACGCAAGACGAAACGAAACAUCUAGUAGCAGGUUCCCUCCGAAGUUUCCCUCAGGAUAGCUGGCACUCUCUCUCACAAGGAAAUGACCCACAGUUUCAUCCUGUAAAAUGAAUGAUUAGAAGUCUUGGGGCGGAAACGAUCACAACCUAUUCUCAAACUUUAAAUGGGUAAGAAGCCCGGCUCGUUGGCGUGAAGCCAGGCGUGGAAUGCAAGUGCCUAGUGGGCCACUUUUGGUAAGCAGAACUGGUGCUGCGGGAUGAAGAGCACACGGGUUAAGGCGCCCCAUGCCGUUGCUCAUAAGAGUCUGAUAGAAUCCUUCAAGGAAUCCAUCUGGGCCUGGACCUUAGUCAGAAGGGUUGAACGUUUUCUGGUUUGUUUGUUUGUUUGAGAGAGAGAGAGAGGUUCGUA
RNAcentral lists this non-coding RNA (688 nucleotides) under Mus musculus (house mouse). Its description in RNAcentral is "Eukaryotic large subunit ribosomal RNA". It matches the Rfam family "Eukaryotic large subunit ribosomal RNA", at positions 716 to 1402 of the family's 3401-position model. The record is from Rfam by way of RNAcentral. Lineage: Eukaryota; Metazoa; Chordata; Mammalia; Rodentia; Muridae.